GUGUUUACAGCAAAAAGCCUGAAGGUAACGAUUCUACUCACCAGAACAAAUUCAAUAAGCUGUAGUUGUUCUGGUGACUAUAGUGUCCCUUUAACUAUAUUCAUUGUCAGCCAGUCCACACAAGUUUUGUUCCCAUACAUCCCUCUUAAGUUUCCAUACUUAAGAGUAUGUGAAAAGUAGUUAGGGUUGCCACCUUUCUUGGAAAAACAUACCGGCC
This is a non-coding RNA of Pelobates cultripes (western spadefoot toad), 217 nucleotides long. NCBI's taxonomy places the organism in Eukaryota, Metazoa, Chordata, Amphibia, Anura, Pelobatidae. The record is from the annotation of a GenBank genome assembly.